CACUCCUACGGGAGGCAGCAGUGGGGAAUAUUGCACAAUGGGCGCAAGCCUGAUGCAGCCAUGCCGCGUGUAUGAAGAAGGCCUUCGGGUUGUAAAGUACUUUCAGCGGGGAGGAAGGCAAUACGGUUAAUAACCGUGUUGAUUGACGUUACCCGCAGAAGAAGCACCGGCUAACUCCGUGCCAGCAGCCGCGGUAAUACGGAGGGUGCAAGCGUUAAUCGGAAUUACUGGGCGUAAAGCGCACGCAGGCGGUCUGUCAAGUCGGAUGUGAAAUCCCCGGGCUCAACCUGGGAACUGCAUUCGAAACUGGCAGGCUUGAGUCUUGUAGAGGGGGGUAGAAUUCCAGGUGUAGCGGUGAAAUGCGUAGAGAUCUGGAGGAAUACCGGUGGCGAAGGCGGCCCCCUGGACAAAGACUGACGCUCAGGUGCGAAAGCGUGGGGAGCAAACAGGAUUAGAAACCCCGGUAGUCCCAUG
Molecule: ribosomal RNA, 474 nt
Filed under: uncultured organism
Description: partial 16S ribosomal RNA
Rfam family: Bacterial small subunit ribosomal RNA
Source: RNAcentral